RNAcentral lists this transfer RNA (65 nucleotides) under Reduvius tenebrosus. RNAcentral's name for it is "tRNA-Trp". Lineage: Eukaryota; Metazoa; Arthropoda; Insecta; Hemiptera; Reduviidae. The record is from RNAcentral.
AAAGCUUUAAGUUAAUAAACUAUUAACCUUCAAAGUUAAAAUUACAGGCCUUUCUGUAAGCUUUA